This 345-nucleotide unclassified non-coding RNA is filed under the name soil metagenome. RNAcentral describes it as "partial contains 5.8S ribosomal RNA, internal transcribed spacer 2, and large subunit ribosomal RNA". The stretch from base 1 to 121 matches the Rfam family "5.8S ribosomal RNA", at positions 35 to 154 of the family's 154-position model. The record is from RNAcentral.
GAUGAAGAACGUAGCGAAAUGCGAUAAGUAAUGCGAAUUCCAGAAUUUCCGUGAGUCAUCGAAUCUUUGAACGCACAUUGCGCCCACUGGUAUUCCGGUGGGCAUGCCUGUUCGAGCGUCAUUAUCCUCCCUCAAACCCCGGGUUUGGUGUUGGACCCAAGUUGUGUGAACAACUGGUCUCAAAGACAAUGACGGCGUCCGUGGGACCCUCGGUGCAACGAGCUUUUAGGAGCACGCAUCGAGUUGCAAGGCCCUUCCGGGCCGGUCUCCUUUACCAUUUUACAAGGUUGACCUCGGAUCAGGUAGGAAUACCCGCUGAACUUAAGCAUAUCAAUAAGCGGAGGA